This 799-nucleotide long non-coding RNA is filed under the name Selaginella moellendorffii. Its description in RNAcentral is "long non-coding RNA (SMOE_LNC001061)". The record is from RNAcentral. Lineage: Eukaryota; Viridiplantae; Streptophyta; Lycopodiopsida; Selaginellales; Selaginellaceae.
CACAUUUGAAUAGUAAAUUAUUAAGUGACACUAUAACAUCAUGCUCUCCACCAAAUUCUUGCUGGAGACGAGGUUCCUAGUAGGGUUGCAGUCUCUCAUCAAGGUGAGCGGUAAUCGAAGCGAGCCACCCAGAUAGGAAGAACUCAGUAGAGCUCCAAACCCGGCAAGCCGAAUGAAACGCAGGCUAGUUCAAGUGCCAAUUAGAAAACUGCCACUGCUUUCCUUGCGUUGAAUCCCUGAAGCGCAUUGUAGAACACUACCUCUCUGCGGGAGGGUUGGAUGAUCUUGAGCACCGACGAAUGUCGAUCAUCCUGCACAACAGCGCUGUUCCUACCACUGUGCAUAAGUUCCUCUCCCACCAGCACCUUCCAAGGCCGUUUCAUCGUCCGUGACGGAGCGGAGUGUUGCCCAUUGAUCUCGCAAAUUUAAUCCGCCUUGAGCACCUGCAUCGGAUGAAAGACAACACCCGGAUUUGCUGAUUUGUACAGCCUCUCUCGGUAGUAGAGCUGCAUCAUCGGUUCCUUGGAGCCGCGACAGGGCGGGGAAUUUGCAGAAAGAGCAUGCCAAACGCUGUAAAGUUUGGCAUGAGCUCGAUUGUGAUAUCAAGCCUGAUUACCUGCCAUCCGCUUCUUGGAUUGUGCAACCUGGCAAUUUAUUUGCGCUCUUGUGCAAUAUUUCCUUGGUUAGAACAGCACUACACAAACCUCUGAUUUUUCUUGGUGUAUGUGGGUUUAGGCUGAAUAUUGAUUCCAGGCGCUCGCGUUUCCAACGUCUGCAUUGAGCCGGAUGCGGCAAGGAG